GGUGGCCGACCAAGAGGAGGUGGGGCAUAUGAACUAGGGCAUAUGAACUAGGGUGGAAGCAAGGAGAUGGGGCGGUAGCACUUAGAUGAAAACUAUUUUCAUUAGCUCUGCAUGCCCAACUACUCCUCCCCUUUUAUAAUUGGCAGACAAAGGAUAGGAUAGACUUCAAUUAGUUUUGGACUCUUAUCUGGUAAGAGUUCAAGCUUAGAAUUGAAUCCAUCUUAUCCCAUA
RNAcentral lists this long non-coding RNA (231 nucleotides) under Elaeis guineensis (African oil palm). Its description in RNAcentral is "long non-coding RNA (EGUI_LNC038340)". The record is from RNAcentral. Lineage: Eukaryota; Viridiplantae; Streptophyta; Magnoliopsida; Arecales; Arecaceae.